AGUGAACGCUGGCGGUAGGCCUAACACAUGCAAGUCGAACGGCAGCACAGUAAGAGCUUGCUCUUACGGGUGGCGAGUGGCGGACGGGUGAGGAAUACAUCGGAAUCUACUUUUUCGUGGGGGAUAACGUAGGGAAACUUACGCUAAUACCGCAUACGACCUACGGGUGAAAGCAGGGGAUCUUCGGACCUUUCGCGAUUGAAUGAGCCGAUGUCGGAUUAGCUAGUUGGCGGGGUAAAGGCCCACCAAGGCGACGAUCCGUAGCUGGUCUGAGAGGAUGAUCGGCCACACUGGAACUGAGACACGGUCCAGACUCCUACGGGAGGCAGCAGUGGGGAAUAUUGGACAAAGGGGGCAAGCCUGAUCCAGCCAUACCGCGUGGGUGAAGAAGGCCUUCGGGUUGUAAAGCCCUUUUGUUGGGAAAGAAAAGCAGCAGGUUAAUACCCCGCUGUUCUGACGGUACCCAAAGAAUAAGCACCGGCUAACUUCGUG
Molecule: ribosomal RNA, 492 nt
Filed under: uncultured bacterium
Lineage: Bacteria
Description: partial 16S ribosomal RNA
Rfam family: Bacterial small subunit ribosomal RNA
Source: RNAcentral